AUGGCCACCUUCGGGGAGCAGCAGAACGAGCAGGGGCACGCAGCGGUGGCGGCCAAGAGGCGAAUGGCGCAGCCGACCAAGAAGGCCAGGAAGCCAGAGUUCCUCGGCGAGCCCGUCCCCGCCGACGAAGCCUGCGCCAACUGGCCGCAGCGUUACCAGUGUGCCUCGCCCAUGAGGAUAACUGUACCAUACCCAUUCCAGUGGGAAGCACCGACUUUUCAUGCUGCUGAAUGCUUUGCCAUGAUGGCAGCUGCUUUUGUUGCUCUUGUGGAGCUGAAUAAAUGCAAAAUGCACGAUGAAAUUUUCUGUAGGGUGCUGCUGCGUACCGCCAUCAGCCGCAAAGACGGCAAGCUCAAGCAGAUUGCAAAGGAUGGCGAGGUUGAGCGUUUGAAAGUAGAAAGUCCAUAUCCACAGCGGCAUCAGCGCUUCGUCGUCGACCUCAUCCGCGACCGUCCUCGAGGUCGCCCAUGGCGGUCCGGUUGUUGGCUCGCCCGUGCUUUUGGCGCUGAUGCGGAU
Molecule: ribosomal RNA, 516 nt
Filed under: Triticum aestivum (bread wheat)
Lineage: Eukaryota; Viridiplantae; Streptophyta; Magnoliopsida; Poales; Poaceae
Description: partial small subunit ribosomal RNA
Source: RNAcentral